CUUCUUUUUCUUACAAAACAAUUUUUGAAAUUUAUCAAUACCUAUUUUGCAGAAAAGUUAAUUAAUUUUUGAUGAAAUUUGCAGUCAAAAGUACCUCUAGGCCUAUAAUAUUUGUAACUAACAAAUGUGGUGAGUUAAGAUACCAAAAAUGUUGAGCAAAAAUAUCACCAACGUUUCUCUGAAUCAGUUCAUUCGUAAUUUUUCGGCUGUAUCGUUACCUGAGAGUCAUCUCCUGUUGAAAAAAACAUGCCGAAAUUUCGCAGAAAAAGAACUGAAGCCAAUCGCCCAGAAGUUGGAUAAAGAACAUUUAUUCCCCAAAGAACAAGUAUCUGCUUUAAUAAUUAACAUCUUUGAUUCGUUUUCUAUAGAGAUGCUCGUAUCACUGAAUUUUUUGGUGGGCCCAAUUAUCUUCAAUUACUCGCCAUUGCUGAGGAAACCGCCAAAGAAUAUGGUUACAUUACAAGGAUAUUUUGUAUUAUUGGUGCUGAUGAUUAUUAUUUGUAUUUUUAUUCUUUCAUUUUGUUAUGGUUAUGAUUAUGAAAUUACGUAUUAGGUACCUACGUAAUGAUAUUUUUCGUUUAAUCGAAGUGAAAAUUUGUAGUACCUAUUUAAAUUUUCCUGUGUGAGAGCGCUAAGAUCAAAUUUAUAAUUUUUUUCAAUAAAUUAAAUUAC
Molecule: long non-coding RNA, 672 nt
Organism: Planococcus citri (citrus mealybug)
Lineage: Eukaryota; Metazoa; Arthropoda; Insecta; Hemiptera; Pseudococcidae
Exons: 3
Source: RefSeq, a predicted model, not a curated record